Molecule: ribosomal RNA, 425 nt
Filed under: uncultured bacterium
Lineage: Bacteria
Description: partial 16S ribosomal RNA
Rfam family: Bacterial small subunit ribosomal RNA
Source: RNAcentral
GUGGGGAAUCUUGCGCAAUGGGCGAAAGCCUGACGCAGCCAUGCCGCGUGAAUGAUGAAGGUCUUAGGAUUGUAAAAUUCUUUCACCGGGGACGAUAAUGACGGUACCCGGAGAAGAAGCUCCGGCUAACUUCGUGCCAGCAGCCGCGGUAAUACGAAGGGGGCUAGCGUUGCUCGGAAUUACUGGGCGUAAAGGGCGAGUAGGCGGACAGCUUAGUCAGAGGUGAAAGCCCAGGGCUCAACCUUGGAAUUGCCUUUGAUACUGGCUGUCUUGAGUUUGGGAGAGGUGAGUGGAACUCCGAGUGUAGAGGUGAAAUUCGUAGAUAUUCGGAAGAACACCAGUGGCGAAGGCGACUCACUGGCCCAAUACUGACGCUGAGGCGCGAAAGCGUGGGGAGCAAACAGGAUUAGAUACCCCGGUAGUCC